UAACUGGCUUAUUGAAGCCAAGCAUCCAUAAUGAUGUUGCUUUUUGAUCCUUCUGUGUCAGCUUUCCGUAUCACUGUGAAGCAGGAUUCACCAGGUGUUUCAUUUUCUGCUCAGUAAUAGGAAAAAUGAGCUAGGAUUAGGCUCUUGUGAGAUGAGUU
This is a non-coding RNA of Colinus virginianus (northern bobwhite), 158 nucleotides long. Lineage: Eukaryota; Metazoa; Chordata; Aves; Galliformes; Odontophoridae. The record is from Rfam.